This 86-nucleotide transfer RNA is filed under the name Nocardia wallacei. RNAcentral describes it as "tRNA-Pro". The record is from RNAcentral. Lineage: Bacteria; Bacillati; Actinomycetota; Actinomycetes; Mycobacteriales; Nocardiaceae.
CGCGGCCGGUUCGGCUGUUGUGGUCGCGGUCGCGGUGACCGCCGGGUGGGGGCAGCCCGCGCCGGUGCUGAUCCCGGUCGCCGGGU